Molecule: ribosomal RNA, 780 nt
Filed under: Knufia marmoricola
Lineage: Eukaryota; Fungi; Ascomycota; Eurotiomycetes; Chaetothyriales; Trichomeriaceae
Description: LSU rRNA
Rfam family: Eukaryotic large subunit ribosomal RNA
Source: RNAcentral
UAUCUGGCCUUUACGGUCCGAGUUGUAAUUUGUAGAGGAUGUUUUGGGUACCGCCGCGGGUUAAUUUUCUUGGAACAGAAAGCCAAAGAGGGUGAGAGUCCCGUCUUGGCCUGCGGUAGGGCUCGUGUAAAACUCCUUCGACGAGUCGACUAGUUUGGGAAUGCUGGUCAAAAUGGGUGGUAAAUGUCAUCUAAAGCUAAAUAUUGGCCAGAGACCGAUAGCGCACAAGUAGAGUGAUCGAAAGAUGAAAAGCACUUUGAAAAGAGAGUUAAACAGUAUGUGAAAUUGUUGAAAGGGAAGCGCAGGCAACCAGACUCGUGCGCGGGGUUCCCCCUUGCUUCUGCUUGGGUUACUUCCCCGUGUCCGGGCCAUCAUCAGUUUUGGGGGCCGGUCAAAGGCUCUGGGAAUGUAUCCUCGCCUUCGGGAGAGGACUUAUAGCCCAGGGUGUCAUGCGGCCACCCGGGACUGAGGAACGCGCUUCGGCGAGGAUGAUGGCGUAAUGGUUGUCUGCGACCCGUCUUGAAACACGGACCAAGGAGUCUAACAUCUAUGCGAGUGUUCGGGUGUCAAACCCUUGCGCGGAAUGAAAGUGAACGGAGGUAGGAAGGCUUAAGCCUGCACUAUCGACCGAUCCUGAUGUCUUCGGAUGGAUUUGAGUAAGAGCAUAGCUGUUGGGACCCGAAAGAUGGUGAACUAUGCGUGAAUAGGGUGAAGCCAGAGGAAACUCUGGUGGAGGCUCGCAGCGGUUCUGACGUGCAAAUCGAUCGUCAAAUUUGCGUA